UACGUAGGGGGCGAGCGUUGUCCGGAAUUAUUGGGCGUAAAGCGCGCGCAGGCGGCCGGUUAAGUCUCAUGUAUAAGCCCAGGGCUCAACCUUGGGACGCAUGGGAAACUGGCUGGCUUGAGUGCAGGAGAGGAGAGCGGAAUUCCACGUGUAGCGGUGAAAUGCGUAGAGAUGUGGAGGAACACCAGUGGCGAAGGCGGCUCUCUGGACUGUAACUGACGCUGAGGCGCGAAAGCGUGGGGAGCAAACA
RNAcentral lists this ribosomal RNA (250 nucleotides) under uncultured bacterium. RNAcentral describes it as "partial 16S ribosomal RNA". It matches the Rfam family "Bacterial small subunit ribosomal RNA", at positions 524 to 774 of the family's 1533-position model. The record is from RNAcentral.